Sus scrofa (pig) is the source of this 63-nucleotide non-coding RNA. Lineage: Eukaryota; Metazoa; Chordata; Mammalia; Artiodactyla; Suidae. The record is from Rfam.
AUUUUAUCCAUGAAAGUGUUUCCUCUAAACCUAUGUGGAGGAACACCUGAUGUCCAGGAAAAU